This 491-nucleotide ribosomal RNA is filed under the name uncultured bacterium. Its description in RNAcentral is "partial 16S ribosomal RNA". It matches the Rfam family "Bacterial small subunit ribosomal RNA", at positions 29 to 506 of the family's 1533-position model. The record is from RNAcentral.
AGUGAACGCUGGCGGUAGGCCUAACACAUGCAAGUCGAACGGCAGCACAGUAAGAGCUUGCUCUUACGGGUGGCGAGUGGCGGACGGGUGAGGAAUACAUCGGAAUCUACUUUUUCGUGGGGGAUAACGUAGGGAAACUUACGCUAAUACCGCAUACGACCUACGGGUGAAAGCAGGGGAUCUUCGGACCUUGCGCGAUUGAAUGAGCCGAUGUCGGAUUAGCUAGUUGGCGGGGUAAAGGCCCACCAAGGCGACGAUCCGUAGCUGGUCUGAGAGGAUGAUAAGCCACACUGGAACUGAGACACGGUCCAGACUCCUACGGGAGGCAGCAGUGGGGAAUAUUGGACAGUGGGCGCAAGCCUGAUCCAGCCAUACCGCGUGGGUGAAGAAGGCCUUCGGGUUGUAAAGCCCUUUUGUUGGGAAAGAAAAGCAGCAGGUUAAUACCCCGCUGUUCUGACGGUACCCAAAGAAUAAGCACCGGCUAACUUCGU